This is a long non-coding RNA of Dromaius novaehollandiae (emu), 5463 nucleotides long. RefSeq lists it as uncharacterized. The record is from RefSeq and is a predicted model, not a curated record. The transcript has 4 exons. NCBI's taxonomy places the organism in Eukaryota, Metazoa, Chordata, Aves, Casuariiformes, Dromaiidae.
ACAGGCUUCACAGCACUCCUCUUUGCUGUUGCAAAAGGAACAGUUAAAAGAAGACAUAAUUAGAGUAUUUGCAUGCAAGGCUGACCUUCAGGUGUGUUUCUGGCUGCUACAGAGAGCAUCAGCCAUUUGGGAGAUGCCAGCUGCUGUAGAAGGAGAACAGUCCUAUAGAGCAGUUGCACAGACAGAGAAAUGGAUACAUCAGCUUCAUGCUAGGAAGGGAAACACAGCUGGGCAGAGUCCUGCUGCUGCGCUGCUAACGCCAGCUUCCAGCACGUGACAAACUGAAGCACCUCUCACAGGUUUGAACUGUGACUGUCAAAUGUUUCUGGAAAAUAUGCAGAACAUGUCCUUUGUUGCAUCUACAAAGACAAACUACUGCCUCCAUUUCUUUUCUUUUCAUAAAAUGACCAGCCAGUUAACUACCUUUGUGUUUUGAAGACAGAGAGCAUCAAUAAUAAAAACACUUACACCAAAGGAAUCAGAGGUCUGUCCAAACAAGUCUUGUUGACAGCAUAUUUUCUGAAUCCAAAUAUUGCAACUUGAUGAAGGAAAUAACCCAAACAGCGUUGAAACAAAAAACCUAAGCCAGCAUUACAAAAAGAAUGAGAAGGCUGGUAAUUUAUUCAUGCAGCAUUAGACACAAUAUACUGGCAAAGAAUUUUAAAGAGGUAACUUUCACAUCUUUCCUGACUAUAUCAACUGGCAGAUUUCACAACUUUUUUUUUAUAAGACUAGAAUCAAAGUCUCCAAUCAGAACCAGAAUACCAACAUCUCAGGCAUCAGCUACCGUUAGCAAAGACUGGAAUUGUGUAAUUCAACAUAGACAUCUUUAAUUAUACAAGGAAAUUAAAUAAAAAAAAAACAAUGCUCAAAGGAAAACUCCAGUGUAAUCCAAGAGAUAAUCUAAUUACAAAGGAGAGUAAGUUAUUAAAAAUGAAGUGUCUUGAUAAUAAAGAAUAAUUAGGAAACAAGCAGAUAAACACAACUCUCAAUUCUUUGAGGAAGCAGAAUCAGAUUGAUGGAAAUGCGUGAGCCUGUGUGCAUGCUUAUAUAAAAGAGAAGGCUGAAAAUCAGGUAAUUAGAUAUAGGAUUAGUGUAGUCUCUCUCUAUUGGAAUUUUCUUUUAAUUAUUAUUUUUAUUUUAGUCACCUAAAAGCAUGAAGAAUUUUCACACCAAAUGUUUACUAACUUUCCCCAACAGAGGUUUCUCACACAAAUUUUUCUACACCAAAAAAACAGGUGAUCAUUUCAAGUCAACAGAGCUUGAGUUAAUUUUCACACUUGCCUCAUAAAAGUUCAUUCUUCCUAAUACUGACAUAUAGCAUUUAGAUUUAAUUCCAGAGGAAACACCGUGUCCUGGAAGAGCAUUGUCUGUCUAAGGAAGGAAAAAAAAUCCAAACACAGCUUUCUCUUCUUCUCCUCCUGCGGUUUGAUACUUUUCCAACAGUGGGAUUCUGCAGUCACUUCAUAUUAAUUCAUGGGUUAGGAAAAUGAUUGGUUUUAUUCAGGUGAAGUCAGUUCUAAUCCAGAGCCCAUCAUCGUCUAUGGAGGAAUCCCAUUGACUUUGGCUAGAUCAGGUCAUUUAUCACUGUGAAUAAUUCAUUUAUCUAAAAGGACUGCUCAGAGUUACAAGUCCAACAUUUAGUUGCAUCUUUAGGACUAAAUUUCUAGGUAAUGCAUAUUUAUUUAACUGGCUAGGUUUUUUACCUAAUAAAGUUAUUUAACAGAAGUCUCCUGAUAAUGAUUAGUUUUGACAAUAUAAGGCUAACACUUUCAUUUCAGGACUACUUUGUAGCUACAACCAAUGCCCCAUUUGUCCUGUUAAUAUGAAUUAAGGAUGGAUCAAUAGCUCCAGAUAUGAAUUCUCCAACUUUUGAGAGUCCCCAAUGCGACAUUACUUAAACAUGGGAUUCAGUAUUUCAUUAUGAAAUACUUGUGCACAUAUACAUUUAGAUCAAACAUUAGAGUCCAGAUCUUCCAUGAGAUGAAGGUAAGUCGUGAGUAUACCUUUCAUUAAUGUACCUUUAUCAUGGAAUUGACAUCAUUUACACCCACAUUAUUAUACUACUGCAAGUAUACUAGCAGCAUUUCCUGCUGCUAUUGUCAAAUGGUUAUUAGCAGAACCAUUGGGCAGCCGCACAACUUCUAGCUCUAUAAAACAGCAAAAAGGGAAACUGAAAUAUCUUCCAGGCUUUGCACUCUGCACUCUGCAAAUCAUAUUUUACAUUUUUAAUAAAAUAAUUGACACCUCUGGCUAUCAGAUUUUCUGCAAAAUACCGAUUUGCAUUAGUUUUGCUUUGGAAGCUUGGUAGAGAUGCUUGUCAUUAGAAGAUUCAGGGACAGAGGUGUCCUGAGACAACAAAAUGAAGAAACCUCUAGCUAUUUCUGCAUUUUCUGAGAUUCUGGCUAACAAAAGCAUGUGUUUUUGUGAGACCAGUUCUUUCUCAUGACCUUUUCUCAUCACUGAUUUGCUGCAAGACUCUGAGGAGAUUGCUGUACCUUACUGAGUUUUAAUUUAUCCACCUGUUCAUGUUAACAACUUUUUUUGUAAGGCCUUUCCUCUGUGCAUCCUAUUCGAAUUGAGUGAUUUGGCCAGCAUUACAUGUGCAAUUAGGAAGUGCCUGUCCCUUUGCUGUAAUGGCUACAAACAUGCUAGAAGUCACUUCCCUUAACAUGUUCCUUGUAUUCCCAGAUAGGAAAUAGAGCUUUUAUGUAUAGGUUACAACAGGUUCUGAGACCAAAUCGUUUUCCUUUGCUAUGUAAUUCCUUUCUUCCUAACAACUAUAUAAUGUCCUACUAAUCUUUUUUGUGUCUAUUUCCAUAAGGAUGCUUUUACUAGAUUUUUAUAAGUGCCUGAAACCAGCAGCAGCAUCUAGAUAGCAUAAUAUAUUUUUCAUAUAAGUUUUGAGUUGUUUGAGAAAUUAAUAUUUAUAAAGAUGACCCGAUGAAAUGUUCCAUGUGAAAACUGAAAUGUUAAAAUUUUGCUGAUUCUGGACUUUCAUCAAAUUUGUUGUUGUGAGCAGAAUCAAAUAAAAGUAAAUAAAAAAUAAAAUAAAAUUUUAAAAAUCCUGAAAAUAAGAUAUUUCAUUCAAGAGAAUUUGAUCUCAAUACUGUUUUACAGGAUAAUGACAUUCAAAAAGUCUGCACCAGCAAGCCCCUCUCAAAGUCUAGGGUGGAUGGGGAGAUGGAUACAUAAACAAUUUAAAAACCAAGGUCUGAUUUCCUUGCAUUUCUACUUCAAUAUAGAACAUUGAAAGGCAAUUGAAUUAGGUAAAAACAACAACAACAACAACAACAACAAACAAAACAAAGCAAAAUCCCUAGAACAACAGAAACAGGAGAUGUAAGAUCAAUGAGAAAUCACUGUUUUUACUGAAGCCAAAAUUCCACUCAAAAACCCACAAUCAUGUCAGUUUCUGCCAAAGUAUCAGUGUUUCCAAGCUAACCUCUUUCCGCAUGUUUUUUUGUCUAACAGCACUGUCAGACCCACUGGCUUUUUCAAGCUCUUCCAUCUUUUGUUGUAAAUAACAACCGAAUAACCAAAUCAUACAGUACUUGCUAUCUGAAUAUUACCUCUUGAAAUCUAAACUUUUGCUUUUUCAAACAAAGCAGACUAGCAACACCUCACAAUAUUAGAGAUCUCCUGUUUUUCUGGGGAAGUAGUUUUUUCCCUUUUUUUUUUUUUUUUUUUUUUUUUUUUUUUUUUUUUUUUUGUCUGUGUGUGUCUGAAAUCUGUCUCUUUUGUUCUCUCAGGAAUAUACCUUCUUCUCUUCAAUCCACUAAGCAAAUUCCCGGAGUCAUAAGUUUCUUUCCCAAGAGCAGUCCUGUAUCAGUCCCUACUGCACAGUCUUAGAAAAUUUGGGCAUUAUAUUCCUGAUAUGUAGGAUUAUUUAGAUUAGUUCUACUGUUCUACAGAAAACUUGUAAUUCUCUACUCAUUUCCAAAUACUUUUUCAGAAAUGGUAGAAAUUUCCUAGAAAGUCUAUAUUAUAUUUACAAAAUAUAUCCAUCUCUGUCUCUGACUGGGGUCUCUGAUUUGCAGCACAUUUUUCUGGAACACUAGGUAUAUAUGAAAAAUGUGAUUGUUUUAUCCGCUUUGGCAUAACAUGAAAAAACAUGCUAGGCACCCUUUUCCCCUCCAAAAUUAAUAGCAACCCUCUCUCUACAAAUGCUGUAAGUUUCUCCACUUGAAUGGCAAACCUUAAAUGCACAGUGCAUUUCCAGUGCACAGAGAUUCCACCAUGGUGGGGCAUCAGUGGGAAACCCGAGCAUUCUGGGGUGGGAGGCUCUUUUGAGAGCUGUAGACUCUCUACUUUCCUGCUAGCAUAAAGCAUUUAGAUUCAAAGAAUUAAGAUAAAAUAGUAAAGGUGCCCAAAAAAAUUAUAAAAGUGGUUAGAGUAAUAUGAAAAAAGUAAAAACCAUAAUGAAAUUAUCUCACAAUCUAGAGAUUUUUAUGAUGAAAUUUAUAAAAUGGGUACAUUUGAAUUAAUCUCAUAAUUACCCUAAUAUACCACUUCAGAAUUUCAAAGUACUAUCAUACGGAGUUCAGCUAUUUCAAAAUUCACUGCACUCAAAAUGCAGCAAUAAAACGAGAGAAGUCUUGACAAAUCAAAUUAAAUUAUAUGUAUAAUCCAUGUUACAGAGAAAGGGAUAAGGAUAUUUUUCUUCCUUAUUAUAGUUACUGUAUUUUUUUUUGGUACUGGUAUAUAGAAAUAGACAGACAGGUAGAUACAUACAUACAUGCAUACAUGCAUACAUGCAUAUAUACAACAGGAGAAGCCUCUAAAAGAUCAAAAGUUCAUCUGACUAUGGGAACAUUUUGAGAUGUUGCUUUCUAACUGUCUUGGAGUUACCUAAAUGGAGUAACUGUCUGUAAAACAAACAAACAAAAAUCUACACUAUCUUAGCAUAGCGUAGCACAGGCAGCCAGGUGAGACGGUUAAACUGGCCGCGUCAGCAGCAGGCUAUCGUGGUGGUGGAGAUGGUUUCGGACCAGCUGCCUGCUGCAGAGUACUCACACUGAAGCAGCUACUUCCAGGCACUGAGAUGUGCAGUAUAUGGCAAUUUCAGUCAUCUGAACUCCUGGAUCUAACUAAAAAGGGGAAUUUUUGGUGUUACAAAAGUGAAUGAAUAGCAAGGGUUUUUUAUACCACAAAAAAGCUUGCUUGCACUUAGAAGAAAAUUCAUACUGGGUCUUUGAUGUAGCACCUCCUUUGGAAAAUUUCAGGCCACACACAAAAAAACAAACGCUAGUGAAGUAUUUGAUUACAUUUUCUCAGAUUAUUGUCUAAGCUACAGUAACAGUAGUUGACAUAAACUGUGCGAAAGCUGUCUACUUGGAAAUUCUCCUCUUAAACCUGACUUUCACUGUAAAAAUAGUUUGCAAAAUAAUUUUGUCAAAUAAAAUUGGCUAUCAUGUCAGUAUAAACAGAUACAAUCUUAGCAAUGGAAUUUCUUUUCUUGAU